This 253-nucleotide ribosomal RNA is filed under the name uncultured bacterium. Its description in RNAcentral is "partial 16S ribosomal RNA". It matches the Rfam family "Bacterial small subunit ribosomal RNA", at positions 524 to 776 of the family's 1533-position model. The record is from RNAcentral.
UACGGAGGGUGCGAGCGUUGUCCGGAAUCACUGGGCGUAAAGGGCGCGUAGGCGGCCUGAUAAGUAGGGGGUGAAAUCCUGCGGCUUAACCGCAGGGCUGCCUUCUAAACUGUCGGGCUAGAGCACGGUAGAGGCAGAUGGAAUUCCCGGUGUAGCGGUGGAAUGCGUAGAGAUCGGGAAGAACAUCGGUGGCGAAGGCGCUUUGCUGGACCAUAACUGACACUCAGGGACGAAAGCUAGGGGAGCGAAUGGG